Molecule: ribosomal RNA, 158 nt
Filed under: Cortinarius violaceus
Lineage: Eukaryota; Fungi; Basidiomycota; Agaricomycetes; Agaricales; Cortinariaceae
Description: 5.8S ribosomal RNA
Rfam family: 5.8S ribosomal RNA
About the family: 5.8S ribosomal RNA (5.8S rRNA) is a component of the large subunit of the eukaryotic ribosome. It is transcribed by RNA polymerase I as part of the 45S precursor that also contains 18S and 28S rRNA. Functionally, it is thought that 5.8S rRNA may be involved in ribosome translocation.
Source: RNAcentral
CAACUUUCAGCAACGGAUCUCUUGGCUCUCGCAUCGAUGAAGAACGCAGCAAAAUGCGAUAAGUAAUGUGAAUUGCAGAAUUCAGUGAAUCAUCGAAUCUUUGAACGCACCUUGCACUCCUUGGUAUUCCGAGGAGUAUGCCUGUUUGAGUGUCAUUA